AGGGCACUGUUCCACCUGGAUCCAGU
This 26-nucleotide non-coding RNA is filed under the name Cricetulus griseus (Chinese hamster). Lineage: Eukaryota; Metazoa; Chordata; Mammalia; Rodentia; Cricetidae. The record is from RNAcentral.